AUUGAUCGCUGGCGGCAGCCCUAACACAUGCAAGUCGAACGGUAACAUCAAGCAGCUUGCUGCUUCACUGACGAGUGGCGGACGGGUGCGUAAUGUCUUGCAAGCUGCCUGGUGGAGGGUGAUAACGACUGGAAACGGUAGCUAAUACCGCAUAAUGUCGCAAGACCAAAGCGCGGGACCUUCGGGCCUCUUGCCAUCUCCUGUGCCCAGAUGGGAUUAGUUUGUUGGUGGUGUAACGCCUCACCAAGCCGACGAUCCCUAGCUGGUCUGAGCGGAUGACCAGCCGCACUGGAACCGAGACAAGGUCAAGACUCGUACGGGAGGCCGCAGUGGGGAAUAUUGCACAAUGGGCGCAAGCCUGAUGCAGCCAUGCCGCGUGUAGGAAGAAGCCCUUCGGGUUGUCAAGUACUUUCAGCGGGGAGGACGGGAGUAAAGUUAAUACCUUUGCUCAUUGACGUAACCAGCAGAAGAAGCCCCGGCUAACUCCGUG
Molecule: ribosomal RNA, 490 nt
Filed under: uncultured bacterium
Lineage: Bacteria
Description: partial 16S ribosomal RNA
Rfam family: Bacterial small subunit ribosomal RNA
Source: RNAcentral